GAUGAAGAACGUAGCAAAAUGUGAUAAGUAAUGUGAAUUGCAGAAUUCAGUGAAUCAUCGAAUCUUUGAACGCACAUUGCGCCCGCCAGUAUUCUGGCGGGCAUGCCUGUUCGAGCGUCAUUUCAACCCUCAAGCCCUCGGGUUUGGUGUUGGGGAUCGGCGAGCCUUUCUGGCAAGCCGGCCCCGAAAUCUAGUGGCGGUCUCGCUGCAGCCUCCAUUGCGUAGUAGUAAAACCCUCGCAACUGGAACGCGGCGCGGCCAAGCCGUUAAACCCCCAACUUCUGAAUGUUGACCUCGGAUCAGGUAGGAAUACCCGCUGAACUUAAGCAUAUCAAUAAGCGGAGGA
This 346-nucleotide unclassified non-coding RNA is filed under the name soil metagenome. Its description in RNAcentral is "partial contains 5.8S ribosomal RNA, internal transcribed spacer 2, and large subunit ribosomal RNA". The stretch from base 1 to 120 matches the Rfam family "5.8S ribosomal RNA", at positions 35 to 154 of the family's 154-position model. The record is from RNAcentral.